This is a long non-coding RNA of Neofelis nebulosa (Clouded leopard), 780 nucleotides long. RefSeq lists it as uncharacterized. NCBI's taxonomy places the organism in Eukaryota, Metazoa, Chordata, Mammalia, Carnivora, Felidae. The transcript is spliced from 2 exons. The record is from RefSeq and is a predicted model, not a curated record.
UUAUUUAUUUUUGAGAGAGAGAGAGAGGGACAGAGUGUGAGUGGGGGAGGGGCAGAGAGAGAGAGACACAGAAUCCAAAGCAGGCUCCAGACUCUGAGCUGUGAGCACAGAGCCCCACGUGGGGCUCAAACUCACGAACCGCGAGAUCAUGCCCUGGGCCGAAGUCGGACACUUACCUGCCUGACUGAACCACCCAGACGCCCCAAUAUUUUAUUUUUUUAAAGUGAUCUCUACACUCAGUGUGGGGGGUCGAACUCACAACCCAGAGAUCAAGAGUCACGUGCUCUACCGACUCAGCCAGCCAGGUGCCCCCUUACCCUACAACUUUUAAAAUAGUGGUAUAAAUUCAUAAUUUUAAGAUUAAUGAUACGAGUUCUGACAAAUAUUUACAAGUGUGUAACCACCACCACAGUCAAGAUGUGGAACAUUUUCAUUGCCCCAAAGCAUUCCCUCGAGCCCCUUUGUAGUCAAUCUCUUCUUCCCAACCCUGGCCCCUGGCAGCUACCGGUAUACUUCCUACCACUAUAGUUUUGCCUCUUCUGGAAAUUUCAUGUGAAUAGAAUCAUACAGUAGGUGAUCUUUGGUAUCUGGCUUCCUUCACCGAACAUAAUGUCUGUGAGGUUUAUUUGUGAUGAGUAUGCUGGCAUUUCUUUCCUUUUUACUUGUCAGUAGCAUUCCGUUGUGUGGGUGUUCCAGUUUGAUGGGCCUGCUAAUGGCCGUUCGGCUUGUUUCUGGUUUUUGACUAUUAUUAAUAAAGUUGCUAUGUGCAUUCUCAUACAA